UCCAAGGAAGCUCAACGCAGCAAUGCAGAAUUCCCGCAGAUAUUCAAGCCAGGCCUCGCUACAAAGUCUAAUGAAUUGCUGUGUACUAAGAGCUGCGUGAGGCAGAAGGCCAUAUUAUGACCUUGUGGGAGCAGCCCCACGUUGAAGCUGGACUGGAGGCUGCAGCAACCCAUCGUUAGAAUUGUCAGCUGUUGUCCAGGCGAGCCUUUUUGACAGCACAACUGUGGAUAAUCUGGGCCUGCCUUUCCUCCCCAACGGCCCUCCUCUUCUCGGUGAGAUAGCC
Hyalella azteca is the source of this 283-nucleotide long non-coding RNA. RefSeq lists it as uncharacterized. The record is from RefSeq and is a predicted model, not a curated record. NCBI's taxonomy places the organism in Eukaryota, Metazoa, Arthropoda, Malacostraca, Amphipoda, Hyalellidae. The transcript is spliced from 3 exons.